Long non-coding RNA from Meriones unguiculatus (Mongolian gerbil), 8930 nucleotides. RefSeq lists it as uncharacterized. The transcript is spliced from 7 exons. The record is from RefSeq and is a predicted model, not a curated record. Lineage: Eukaryota; Metazoa; Chordata; Mammalia; Rodentia; Muridae.
CACCCCCACCCCCGAGACCGGGUGCGGCACCUCCGCCCGCCAGCCGCUCCUGCAUUAAAAUUUCAUGGGCGCUGCAGUAAAGGCGAAGCCGACGCCGACUGCGCUGGGGGGCCGUAGGGAGGGAGGCUGCGGACCAGUGCGGGGAGGAGUUUGCGAGGGGAGGCGCUUGCAGGGGCUCCCCCAGUUCUGCUGAGAGCCGGGCACAAAGAGCCUUCUACACUCCAGCUGCAGGAGCGAGGAGCCGAGACACGACGGACUCUGAAGCCUGUGUGGUAUCUCUGAAACGGCCUGGGGCGACCCCAGAACCCAUUAGUUCGGUUCCUCAACCCCCACCCCCACCCCGGGCUCUGAGAUGUUCUCUGCAGAGGCUGGGGAUUUGAGAGGGAAAGGUCCAGACCUCUCUCAGCCCGGGCGCGAGCGAGCUUAUCUCUUGGACAGAGGGAUUCCGGGGAGCGCGGGCACCCCACUCUCUCCCCAGGCUCCCGAGCACAGGCCGCCCGGCGCCGGGGAUUGCUGGCGCGCACCCCCCACUGCGGAGCGGAGUCGCGCCAGGAGAACGCCCCCACCUGCUGCAGGGAGGGGCGCGAGGAGCGAGGACUGGCUGCCAGCCGGUUUGUUUUUCUCCGCGCCAGCGUCGCCCGGAGCUAGGCGCAGCCUCGCUGCCUCCCAGGAGGCGCCGCCGGGUGCUUAGAGCCCCGGACAGGGAUGAGUAACCCCGCACUCCCGGGGCUCCCAGCGAGUGAGCCGGUGUCCCGCCACGUGGCCCCGCGCUGCGUCAGCACAUCUGGGGCGGGGCUGCUCAUCUGGAGGUGCUCAGAAUCGCUCCCACUCCUGGAGGCAGGGCCGGAGGUCUGUCUGUUGUCAUCACACACUGCCUCUCAGUGGUGCCUGGAGACAAAGCAAGGCUUCACCUCUUGCAAAAAUGCAGGCGGCGGGCAGAGGCCAACGGCUUUACUGAGCCUCCUGAACCUCAAGGUCCAGUCCGGAGACUUUGAUCGUGGUCGCCAAGCCCCUGCGGCGGUGUUAAAUGGACAUUGUCCCAUGUCUAUUGCCCCAGGGAGAUCUCCCAAACCUAUCCCACACCCAGCCAUGGUGAGGAAGUUCCGGCCGGUUCCCAGAAGAGAGGAGGGUAUUGGGAAGGUCACAGACACCCUGCAAAGCCGCCUUGCAGAUAAGUAUCCCUUCACCCGCCCGCUGUGCGGACAGCAUGGUCUCUGCAGGUUCAUAUGGGAAAGGGUCAGCUCUGGAACCCCCCAGAGGGAGGGUGGACAGACGUCGUGACCCUGGCUCCUGAGGAUGGCAUCUGUAAGCUUGGACAGGCUCCUGGUCAUCUUGCAGACACAUGGGGACCUCCUCAGGGCUGCCCUCGGAGCCCAUUGUCUCCUCUCAGCUCCAGGAUCCUGUGACAGCAAGCUGUUAAGAGCUUGCUACGAGAUGCCUUGCCUUCCGGGGCUCGGGAGGACAGAGGUAGCAUAGCUGUCAGGGAAGAGCAAACCUGAGUCCUGGGAUUCGGGGUUCUCCCUCAUCUCCUCCACCGUGGUGACUGCAGCAGUCUGAAUGAACCCUGCGCCCUCUGCCACGUGUUCUCCGCUGUGAGGGUCACUAAAGGGUGACUGAGGUGGGCAGAAGGGCCACCUUUCAUCUCUCAGUUGUGGCUCCAGUGGCCAUUAUAGUAACCUUGUGUGACAGGACGGGGGAGAGAGAGAGAGAAAGAGAGGGGGGGGGCACAGGCUUCCAGCAGCCACAGCAGUGCUGAGGUCAGAGUCCUGGCAUCUCCUCUGCUGUCCCCAAGCUGCCCUGCUUGCCCUGAGUUUUCCUGGGUCACACAGGAACCCACAAUGUACCCAUGUUGGUGAAGGAUGCUGUAGGUGGCAGGGAAGGAGGAGGCAGAUGGCCUCUGGGCCAAGGCAGGGCUUGGGAGUGGUCCUCUCCUGUGGGGGGUUGGCUGUUGUGUCUUCCAGAGUCACCCUGUGAUGUCUGUGUGUGGGAGGAGCUAGGAGCUGCGGCUGCCAUGAUGUCAGGGUGAUGCUGGGUGUCUAGGGGUGAACGACAGAGACAUGGUCCCAUCCUCCGAGAUCUUCAAGUAAGAAAAAUGUGCCUCACCACAGCUCAGCAAGGGGAUAGCUCUGCAGUCUGUCUCCAGACCCUGGUCAGCUUUGGAGCCCUGGGGAUCCCUUGGAUUCUGACUUCGUGGAACUGGGGAGCAACUCAUCUCCCUGAAGACCCUGUGCUUUCCAGUGCCUGGGAUGGAGCCCUCUGGAGAAGAGCCAUUCCUGGAAGAUGCACGCUUAGGAUCCGCCCUGCCUCUGACGGACAGCUCGGGGUGGGAGAGGCUGCAGUUCAGAGCCCUGGGGCCCUGGAGGCCCCUCCUCAUCCCAUGUGGACUGGAAUCCUCCUCCAGUCUCUGGAAAUGGGGGGGGGAGCUUGUCUCAAAGGAUCUGUGGGUAGGGCAGGGACUUCAUGGGCAUGGGGGAAGAGCUCCUCAGGAGGAGCCCAAUGUCUGUCUUUUCUUUUCUUUUCUUUUCUUUUCUUUUCUUUUCUUUUCUUUUCUUUUCUUUUCUUUUCUUUUCUUUCCUUUCCUUUCCUUUCCUUUUCUUUUCUUUCUUUUUCUUUCCUUCCUUCUCUCUUUCUUUCUUUCUUUCUUGCUUGCUUUUCCUUUCAUUCUCCCUCUGUCUGUCUGUGUCUUUCCUCAAUUUGCUGCUUGAAUGAUGGCUCUGUUUGGGUGCUUCCUGGGUGAGGCUUAGCUCCCUGCUGGUUGUGGGAAGGAGACAGACAGCCAGUCCUGGCCUGGGAGCUAGCUCCUGUGCUGUCUAGCACAGGAAGGGACCUUGGAAAGAGAAAGGGGGUGCCCUGAGAUAAGGACACCCAGUAGGGAGGUUCCUGGCAGACCCACAGCGUCAGCUUCUUCCAGUCACUACAGAAUGGGCUGCACCCAGUCUGCAGUUACUGAGGCUUUGCUGAGGACACGGGGCUGCUCAGGGUGCAGCACCCCCAUCUGUGUUGCAUAGCUGCCGAGGGACAGAAGCUGGCACGCACUUCCUGCACCCCUGCUCAGGGUGCAGGGCCCAGCAUUCUCUCCCGUCUAUGCCCCGCCGCUGUCACCACCUUCCUGGAGGCGAUGGUUCUACAGUCGGCAAGAGAGCAGUGUGUGGCCUCCCUUGGGACGGGAAGUCUAGAAACAGGAAGCCCUUCAUGGGAUGGGGGUUGGGGGAAGGAGUUAUGUAUUUACUUUUCAGCCCAGGCUGUGAGGCUCAGCACCAGAGACUCCCACUCCAGUGCUCGGGGCUGGCAGAGCAAGAUCCAAGUGCCAGCAGUAGCUUUAUGUCCUCAGGGGGCCUCUCUUGGUGUCCAGAGUGAGUAGGCUCCAGGGAUUCGUUUCAUAAGGGCGACGGUCUUGUCGUUUCAAGACCCAGGCUUAGGACCUCAUCUGAGCUUAGGCACAGCCAUGAUGGGUUUGUCUCUCCAGGCCUUCACAUAGGGCCUGUGGGUUAGCCUGUGCCUCUUGGGGGGAGGGGGGACUCUGACAGGGUGGUCUCACAAACAGGAGCAGCCAAAGCCAUCUCCCUUUCAGAAUUCCUCACAUAGGGACGAGCAGAUGAAUGUAAGACAGACAGUUGCAGGCACUGUGCUAGGUGUCUCGGGGACGUGGUGGCUGUAGCCAGAGCAGAGCCAGCUCAGGUCUUGCUGUACAAGUCACCUUGCCUCUACCAGCCUUGAUUUCCGCUUUGUCUCUUGGGCCCUAGGCUGUCCUGGUGGCCCAGGUAGCUCUCAGGGAGGUCCUGUGCCUGGGUCAGUGCUGGGCUCUCAGAAGAUGCUUCCUACCUAUAGUUCUGUCCAGUGGGAGUUUAGGGAGUUUAGGGUUAGGGUGCAGCCAGGUUGGGUGCUUUGUGAUCCAGAGGCGUUCCUGGCUAGGCCACCCCCAUCUUCCUGAGGAGUCUGGGGGCACUGGCCAAUCUCUGUUGUAGGCUUGCCAGGUUUUCCAGAAGGGGAGGAACCCUGUUUCCUGCUACCAGCAUGGAGUCUAUUUUACCUCUUUUCUGUGAGCCGGUUUGGGAAAUACAGGUGCGGCCCAGCCGUGCUUCAGACAUUCACAACUUCAGAGAGAAGCUAUCUCCAGGAAGGGUUAGACAACAGUGGGGAGGCAGACCCUCAGCUCUGGCACUCUGGAGAGGCUCCGUAGCCAGGCUGACCCAACUGGAGGAUGAGAAGAGUGUGGCUUAGCUGAGUGCUUUUGGGAAGACGUUAAAGCACAACUCAAGUAGGUUAAAAGCAGUGCAGGACUUUUCAGAACCUUGAAAACGUGAAUGAGUGCUUCGGAUACUCGGGGUGGGGUAGACGGACAAAGCAAUUACUCCUGACUUGGCUGGCUACAGAAUUCUUUUCUUACCAAACAUUGUCUAGAAUGCUAGGAGACACAGCUUGAGCUUUAGGAAUGCCAAGGUCUAUAGAUAGGUGGUAUGGCUGGGGCGUACUCAGGUGGCCUGGUGUUGCCUGGAUGGAAAGAGAAGCCGGAGGGUUGCGGUGGAGGCAGUCCAAGCCUCGCCUUAGGACUCAGGCCACUUCCUUGUGGUGUUUGUAGAGGAGGGCAGGGCAGGCCAGUGGUGGGAGCAGCCAGAGACCUGGGAAUUGGUGACAGAAGAGAUGUCCAUUUCCAAGCAUGGCAGCUCUGGGUGGGGUGGGGUGGGGUGGGUUAGAUGCUUUGUCAAAAGAUACUGAGAUUGUGUGUGUGUGUGUGUGUGUGUGUGUGUACAGGCAUGUAUGCGUGUGAGAUAGUGCUUCUGGGAAGGGGUUGGCCACAACCAGGCAGGGGGUUUGCACUGAGGACGUGCAGGGCACAUUUUCAGCAGAGCUGAAGUGUUUGUGGGGCCCUGAGACCCACAGCUUAGAGCCAGAAGCUCUGGGCUUCCAGCAGGGGUCACUGAGGUCAGGUUUGAUUCCUGGGGGGGGGGUGCUGAGGGGUGUUGAGACAGACCCCCUGCCCUGGUCAGGCCCCCUGCCCAGGCUGGUGAGGACAGGAGGCCUGUGGUGGGUGGGGGAAGGCUGCAUGGUGUGUUUAACCUACUAACCAAACCAGGGCUCGGCCAGGACUCUACCGCCCGCCCCGCCCGCCCGCCUGCCCGCCCUCGACGAGACGCCUGGCCCUUCUGUCGACUGACUAAUCCACUAACCUGGCCCGAGCAUGUCCUACUAACCCCGCAGCAGCCAAACCCUACUAACUUGGCAGCCCAGGGGCCUUCCCAGAGGCCGGGAGGUGGGCAGACAAGGCUCUGGAAGGCCCUGCCUGGCGGCUGGGGUCUAUGUGCAGGCUCAUCCUGCAGGACAGGGCGUGCUAGGAGACUCACCAACUCUGCCACUCGCUGCUGCCCUCUCCGGGACGCUUUCCCUCCGUGGUGGAAUGGGAUCCUCCUACUUCCCUCGAUGCCCGUGGCGAGGCAGCCAAAGUGUGGCCGAAUGGCAGGGACUUCAAAAUGGAAAAACCAAAACCAAAACGUGGCAAGGGCAGGCCGCAGGGCGCUGGGUGAUGCGCCCAUCCCCUGAUCUCGGGUGUUCUGCACACAGACCCUUCUGCCUGGGGCAGACACGUGCUUUGGAUCCUUAACCGUCUCUUCCCCUCUUGCCAGCUUUCUCCCUGUAGGCAGCUCUUUUGAUUACUAAUUGUCUAACGCUGGGGUGCCCUGCCCGCACCCCGCCGCCGCCCAGGAACUAACGGCCCCCCGCUGCCUUCUUCUCUGUAGUGGCUCCUGUGUGUGUCUGCAGACCUGUCGCUGGUGCUGUGCUCUGAUCUACUAACACGGCCCUACUAACCGGUUUCUUCUCUUACUAACCCAGCCCUGCCGAGCUCUGGGCCUCCCGGGGGCUGGUCCCUCCUUUUGGCAAGCAGAUGUCCCCAGGCUGACCAGGCCAGGUCUGAGGCAGGGGACAGCUGUAUUAACGAUGCCCAGAGGAAGAGGAGGAGGAGGCUGCCCUGUGGAUGUGGGACGCUGCGCUCCGAGCAUGACCUCUGUCCUCUGUGCACAGGUCUGGUUGCCACCAGGAGUGGAUGGGAUCAGGGGAGCCAGUGUGGGGCCUGUAGUUCUGGGCCCUACCUAGCCUGGGCCCUUUCUGAUUUAGGCCAGGGAGGAAGGAGUAGGAACUCAAAGGGCUGGCCGUCUUGUACAGGAGCUCAAAGGUGUGUCUCUGAACCUGAAGCCAGCGGAGUGACAAGCCUUACAUGGAAGCUCUAACUGAGACGUUUCCAAAUAGAAGCAUGUGAGGGGGGCAUUUCCCCAAAAAACCACAAGGCAGAGUACUGGAAGUAGAUUUGGGGCCAUUUUCACACAGGAAGUAGGUGUGAGGAUAUUUUUCCCUCAGGAAGUGUUCAGAAAGACCCUCCCCACAGGCUGCCAGUUGCCAUGGUGCUCACAGUUGGGGAAGUGCCUCCACAGGCCCUUAGGGCUUACGGGAAGGCGGAGGAACUGGUGCCUGGAAGAGAACCCUUGGGGCCCACAGGCCACUGGGAAGUUACCCCAGCUCCUUGUCCUGUUGAUGCCCAUCCCUCUGCCCCAGCCAGCCUCCCCCAGAGCCCGCCAGCUGCUAAGCCAGGGCCACACCUGGGGGUGAUUUCAUGCCUCACCUCCAGUAGGCUCAUGGCCUCUCUGGGCUAACCUCUGGCUCCUCUGCACUAACUCUAGCUCAUACCCAGCUAACCCCUGCCUCUCCCUGGCUGCCCUAGCGGCUGACCACUUGCCAGCCCUGCCCAUCCUGGGGGGUGGGGAGCUCCAGGCUCCUGGCCUGGCUUUGGCCGACUCCCUUGAACCACCCCUUCCUCUGGACUAAUUCAUGCCUUUCUGGUCUGUUCCUUUCGGCAGAAAUGAAUGGCUGUGGACUUCUCUCUGACUAACAGGUCUCACACAUCUCACUGUUACCACUAACGGCUUGGAUGGUGGCAUGGCUGGAAAGGGGCUGGCUGACAGAGGCUCUGAGCUUGGUUGAUACGGGGAGAAUGUAGCUAGGGAGAGUAGAUCCCAUGGCUGCUCUGGGUCAGAGAUUCCAAAUGUCAAUCAAGGUGGUACCCUGGCUGGGGUGUGGCUCAGCCAGAAGAAAGGGUACUGUCUCCUGAGCAUCUUGGUAGGGUCAGACAUACAGCCAGCCUUCUUAGAUUGUGGCCACUGGCCCCAUCCCAUAAUCUUACAAUCUGCAGGAGCUGUUAGCUCCGUAAACUACAGCCUCAGUUCUUGCAAGCAGAGGCAUGCAGGAGCCUAAGACACCUGUCUAGUUUCUUCAAAGAACUUGUUAUUGAUGGAUUCGCUGGGCACAAGGCCAGGGCCUGUCCUUGUUUAGGAGACUUAUGGAGUUCUGGCCAUAUGACCUCAAGCUCCAGGCAGAAAUAUCUAUGAGGGUUGUAAAUCCUCCAACCCUAGACACCCUAGUGAAAUAGCCCAGGUUUCCCUCUAACUCUUCUAAGGUAGCUCUUUUACACAGGGUCGAUGCACUGGCUGGCAGGGAGUCUGGGACCCCUUAAGGCAAGGGGGAGUCCUCUGGGAGCAGAGACAGAAAGCCAUGAGGCCAGGGGACCCUUGUGGAGCUGUGAGUGACACAGGGCUGAGGUGGGCAAGAGGAGAGCAUCUUCUUUCACUGGCUUGGUCUGGAGGCUCAGUGACAUGGUUGAGCCUGUCGGCAGCCUCAGGGACAGGUUUCCUGGGUCCAUAGGUGCUGGGAGAGCUUCUUUCCUGCCAGCUUAGGGCUGACUGUAUAGCCACCGGUUGUCCUGUAGGCCCCUGGAGGCUUGAGUUACAGAUUAAAUGGAGGAGAAGCCCCUGGGGAAGGUGGGUUCGCGAGGAGGCAGGGCUGGGAUGUACCUGUUGCUGCCCUCUGGUGGCCGACCAGCUUCAUUUCACCCGCAAUGCCCAGAGAAGGCUGUUUACUCCAAGAACUCCCAAGGCAGAGGCUGGGCAGGGUGGAGCCCUGUCAUCAGGGCACCAGUGCGGGCACGAGCUGGUCCCCAGUGGCUGCAGUUCUGUGUGGUGGGCCCAGGACAGAGCAGGGGGAGGGGAUCAGGAGAGCUAAGGUGAGGCAGGCAGGGAGGUCUCUCUCGGAAGAGGGAUCACGCCAGCUAAACCUUGAUAGGGUACCAGGAGGGUGGCAGGGCUGGCCUUUUCAGGCUGCCUUUGCUCGCUUUAGCCCAGGUGGGGCAGGGAGGAGCUUACAGUGUGUGCCCGCCAUGUUCUAGACAGGGUCAGAGCUUCUGGCUUCCGUCCAUCUGGAGAGGAGCAGAGAUCACAGAGCUGGCUCUCACCGGGGGACAGAGGCGACGAGAAACUUAAAGUUUAGCCCAGGCCCUGAAGGUGUGAGUUUCCUCCAGAAGACCUGGAGGACAGUGAUGGCGAUAUGUGUGUGUUUGUGUGUGUGUGCGUACUUGCUUGACUGUGUGCACAUGCGUAAGAGAGGGGAGAAAAGAGAGGCGACUAGAGGAAACAGCCUCCGAUGGCUCAUUCUCAUCACCUAUCUCUGGGCUGCAUCUGCCCCCAUUCCCAGCCCACAUCCCAUUAAACUUCAGGCUUGUUUUGAGCAGGACCCCGUGGACAGGGACCAGCUUCCUGUCUGGGGAGGUCACAGCCUGCCUGGAGGGCAGAGCCAGCAUGGGCCCUGCCCCAGGGUGGGGCUGGACAGUGAGGACAGCUUUGGGGUGCUCAGGUUUGGAGCCCUGGUGCAGCCUGUCUGGACUCCGUCUAGGGCCUAUUGUUUUAUAACCAGCUUGGCAAAGCUGUCUGUUCCACGUCUGUUCCUGCUGGUUGGGGAAGGGGGAUGCUGAGUGUGGGCCCUGGAAGCCUGAUGUAUUGAAGACCAUCUUUCUGAGGGUCCAGCCAUAGUUCCCCGGUCUUUGGAUUUUCAUUCCUGUAGCUGUUUCUGUGUAAGAUGCUAUGUUGCUAUUAAAACCGGUGCACACUGGA